UACCAGCACCCCGAGUGGUCGGGACGAUUAUCGGGCCUAAAGCAUCCGUAGCCGGUACUGCAAGUCUUCCGUUAAAUCCACCUGCCCAACAGUUGGGCUGCGGAGGAUACUACAGCGCUAGGAGGCGGGAGAGGCAAGCGGUACUCAUUGGGUAGGGGUAAAAUCCACUGAUCCAUUGAAGACCACCAGUGGCGAAGGUGGCUUGCCAGAACGCGCUCGACGGUGAGGGAUGAAAGCUGGGGGAGCAAACGGG
RNAcentral lists this ribosomal RNA (253 nucleotides) under uncultured archaeon. RNAcentral describes it as "partial 16S ribosomal RNA". It matches the Rfam family "Archaeal small subunit ribosomal RNA", at positions 474 to 727 of the family's 1478-position model. The record is from RNAcentral.